Molecule: long non-coding RNA, 1314 nt
Filed under: Setaria italica (foxtail millet)
Lineage: Eukaryota; Viridiplantae; Streptophyta; Magnoliopsida; Poales; Poaceae
Description: long non-coding RNA (SITA_LNC001520)
Source: RNAcentral
AGAUAUUGGCAGAGCAGAUGCUUUUCGUGGUGGGACUCCUUUUUGGUUUGGUGUCCAUGGUUGAGACUUCAAAAGUUUGGAAAUUCAGGUUCAUUAGGUAGCUAUCAUCUAAUGAUGAUUUGGCUUUGGGGAUCCUAUUUUUGGUAAAAUGCUUGCCUUGCAGUGGAACUCCACUGACCGAGAUUGGAAAAAGUUGGAGCACCACAUGUUUUGUUGUCUCUCCUAUGCUUGUGCGCUCCAUUUCAACAUGUGUUUUUUGUAUAGAAGGAUCAUACCUGCAAAUUCACGAAGAAUGGUGAUAUCCACACAUGUGUUUCAAAUGGGUUCUGUUUGUUGAUACGUCAGAAGGUCUAGUCCGUAUCACUGAACUAAAUGACUGGUGCAUCACAUAUGGCCUAAUUUUCAGUAUCAUAAUCAAAGCACCGGUUCAAUGCCAGUGGUAUAUUGCUCAGGGAUGCAGUAGCCAAUAUGUUUGGGGUCUACUUCAAAGCUGGAUGAUGAGGUUUCAACUGUUUCGUUCAGAUUUAAUACCAGGCACUACCCACAGCAAAAUGCUGACAAAAAACAUGGAUUGGAAGCCCUAAUCGUCUAAUCAGAUGGCUUGCUGCAAGAGUUCAAACAUAACUGAAAAAUCUGUGCUCCUGAUGCAGAACAAGUUGGUUGGAUUUGAAACCAGUGUGUUAUGAUCAGGUCUGAAAGGAUAUGAGCACAGGGCAUGCACACAGACCAUGGUUUAACAGUUUGUGUCAGUCAGCAACUGCCCCAAAAGAAGAAAGUGUGUCCUGAAGGCCUGUACGGCUGUACUAAAAUUUGCCUGAUGAUUGUCAAUCGUCUGUCUAUUUGCCAACUUGCAGUCUUACAGAUGGAAAAUUUUAAGAGAAAAAAGCAAGGAAAUGGAGUUCACAUAAGAUGCUUGUAAUCCAACAGUCUGCCAACUGAAGUGACAUGAACGACCAAGUUGUUUGGACAUGUUGAACACAUUUAAUCUGGUCGUUCAAGUACAUUGUGUCAUGGGCAUGAACAACUGUCAGGCUAUAUAUCUCAAUCUGAAGAACCAAAAUCAGAAAUCCAGAUCUUAAAAAGGGACAAACUAAUCACCAAAAAAAUGAUUGAUAUGUAGUUGCAGACUCACUGGCAGAACCGGUCCAGAGUCCAGACAGGUUGGACCCAAUGUUCAUGUGGUCCUCAUGAUGCAUGCUUGACUGCAGGCAGGUCAGUAUGGCAGCACAUUGUGAUACCCUAGAGGGACUAAACACUGAAACUAUUGGUUUCAGCAAGUGCCGAACUGAUGGCCCCAGAGAAAUCUAAUCAAGA